RNAcentral lists this non-coding RNA (73 nucleotides) under bovine gut metagenome. RNAcentral's name for it is "Cyclic di-GMP-I riboswitch". It matches the Rfam family "c-di-GMP-I riboswitch aptamer", at positions 6 to 83 of the family's 87-position model. From Rfam's summary of the family: GEMM was predicted in a large-scale screen for bacterial structured RNA regulatory elements. Genes associated with GEMM are involved in a diverse array of functions, including chemotaxis regulation, signal transduction, secretion and chitin. The record is from RNAcentral.
UAAUAGGCAAAACAAGCGAAAGUUUGCGGCGCAAAACUAUAGGGUCUAAAAGGUAUUUAUGACAGCCAGUUGC